RNAcentral lists this ribosomal RNA (520 nucleotides) under Streptomyces roseorubens. RNAcentral's name for it is "bacterial SSU rRNA". It matches the Rfam family "Bacterial small subunit ribosomal RNA", at positions 84 to 617 of the family's 1533-position model. The record is from RNAcentral. Lineage: Bacteria; Bacillati; Actinomycetota; Actinomycetes; Kitasatosporales; Streptomycetaceae.
GGUGGGGAUUAGUGGCGAACGGGUGAGUAACACGUGGGCAAUCUGCCCUGCACUCUGGGACAAGCCCUGGAAACGGGGUCUAAUACCGGAUACUGAUCCUCGCAGGCAUCUGUGAGGUUCGAAAGCUCCGGCGGUGCAGGAUGAGCCCGCGGCCUAUCAGCUUGUUGGUGAGGUAAUGGCUCACCAAGGCGACGACGGGUAGCCGGCCUGAGAGGGCGACCGGCCACACUGGGACUGAGACACGGCCCAGACUCCUACGGGAGGCAGCAGUGGGGAAUAUUGCACAAUGGGCGAAAGCCUGAUGCAGCGACGCCGCGUGAGGGAUGACGGCCUUCGGGUUGUAAACCUCUUUCAGCAGGGAAGAAGCGAAAGUGACGGUACCUGCAGAAGAAGCGCCGGCUAACUACGUGCCAGCAGCCGCGGUAAUACGUAGGGCGCGAGCGUUGUCCGGAAUUAUUGGGCGUAAAGAGCUCGUAGGCGGCUUGUCACGUCGGUUGUGAAAGCCCGGGGCUUAACCCCG